CCUACGGGAGGCAGCAGUAGGGAAUAUUGGUCAAUGGGCGAGAGCCUGAACCAGCCAUGCCGCGUGCAGGAAGAAGGCCCUCUGGGUUGUAAACUGCUUUUGACAGGGGCCAAAAUACUCAUGCGUGAGGAAUUGAGAGUACCUGUAGAAUAAGCACCGGCUAACUCCGUGCCAGCAGCCGCGGUAAUACGGAGGGUGCAAGCGUUGUCCGGAUUUAUUGGGUUUAAAGGGUGCGUAGGUGGCCUUAUAAGUCAGUGGUGAAAGCCUGCAGCUUAACUGUAGGACUGCCAUUGAUACUGUAGGGCUUGAGUACUGAUGAGGUAGGCGGAAUUGAUAGUGUAGCGGUGAAAUGCAUAGAUAUUAUCAAGAACACCGAUUGCGAAGGCAGCUUACUAAGGAGUUACUGACACUGAGGCACGAAAGCGUGGGGAUCAAACAGGAUUAGAUACCCUGGUAGUCCACGCCAUAAACGAUGAUUACUCGAUGUAUGCGAUAGAUAGUAUGCGUCCAAGCGAAAGCGUUAAGUAAUCCACCUGGGAGUACGACCGCAAGGUUGAAACUUAAAUGAAUUGACGGCUGAGAGNGCGAGGCGACACGAGGGAGUAGG
This 607-nucleotide ribosomal RNA is filed under the name uncultured bacterium. Its description in RNAcentral is "bacterial SSU rRNA". It matches the Rfam family "Bacterial small subunit ribosomal RNA", at positions 338 to 951 of the family's 1533-position model. The record is from RNAcentral.